This 569-nucleotide long non-coding RNA is filed under the name Amborella trichopoda. Its description in RNAcentral is "long non-coding RNA (ATRI_LNC001605)". The record is from RNAcentral. Lineage: Eukaryota; Viridiplantae; Streptophyta; Magnoliopsida; Amborellales; Amborellaceae.
AACACUCUCUCUCUCUCUCUCUCUCUCUCUCUCUCUAGAAUCUAGAGUCUAAAUUCAGCAAACGGAACCCAGAAAAGCUCUCUGUUACAAAAAUUCUCUCUUUCUCUAUCUUAAUUCACUGAAAGAAGGAAAGCACAGUCUCUCUUCCCCUCCCCUCCAAAUUCUUUCUAUUCCAAAUCCCUGAAAAAAUAAGUGAAUUUAGACAAAAAUUAUUUCUUUCUCCAGUCCAGCAAAGAAAACCAACUAAAACUACUGCACCAUCAAACACAAACCAGAAGUGAAUUUAGAGGAAAUGGAAGAAAAACAGGGUAGCAAGUGUGACAGCCAUACUUCUUCUGUAGUCAAUAUUCAAUUCUCAAACAAUCCUUAAUAAAUAAAACAAUUACUUUUACUGCUAUACUUUUGCCUUCUGAUACUGAAUCUCUCACUCCAUAGAAUUCAUUGCCGGAGUUCUCUCUUGGACUUAUUGGCCACGUCAAAAAGAUUCGCUUUUGUAUCUUUUGGUCUCUGUCUACGAUACACAGUAUAUCUCUUUUCUUUUUUUUUGUUGAACAGUUAUAUAUUUAUUU